UUGGAGGGCAAGUCUGGUGCCAGCAGCCGCGGUAAUUCCAGCUCCAAUAGCGUAUAUUUAAGUUGUUGCAGUUAAAAAGCUCGUAGUUGAAUUUCGGGAUUGACACAUCGGUCGUGCCUUAAGGGGUAUGAACUGGUGUAGUCAAUUUCUCACCUUCUGGAGAACCGCGAUGCCCUUAAUUGGGUGUCGCGGGGAACCAGGACCUUUACUUUGAAAAAAUUAGAGUGUUUAAAGCAGGCAUUUUGCUUGAAUACAUUAGCAUGGAAUAAUAAAAUAGGACGGCAUGAUUCUAUUUUGUUGGUUUCUAGGAUCACCGUAAUGAUUAAUAGGGAUAGUUGGGGGCAUUAGUAUUCAAUUGUCAGAGGUGAAAUUCUUGGAUUUAUUGAAGACUAACUACUGCGAAAGCAUUUGCCAAGGAUGUUUUCAUUAAUCAAGAACGAAAGUUAGGGGAUCGAAGACGAUCAGAUACCGUCGUAGUCUUAACCAUAAACUAUGCCGACUAGGAAUCAGACGAUGUUAAUUUUUUAAUGACUCGUUUGGCACCUUACGGGAAACCAAAGUGUUUGGGUUC
RNAcentral lists this ribosomal RNA (571 nucleotides) under uncultured Glomeromycotina. RNAcentral's name for it is "SSU rRNA". It matches the Rfam family "Eukaryotic small subunit ribosomal RNA", at positions 548 to 1114 of the family's 1831-position model. Lineage: Eukaryota; Fungi; Glomeromycota. The record is from RNAcentral.